AAGACGCUAGUAAAACCAGACAUUACAUUACCUUGUCAAGGUAAAAUCGUGGGUUAAACCCCCGCGCGUCUUG
RNAcentral lists this transfer RNA (73 nucleotides) under Squalomugil nasutus (shark mullet). Its description in RNAcentral is "tRNA-Asp". It matches the Rfam family "tRNA". From Rfam's summary of the family: Transfer RNA (tRNA) molecules are approximately 80 nucleotides in length. Their secondary structure includes four short double-helical elements and three loops (D, anti-codon, and T loops). The record is from RNAcentral. Lineage: Eukaryota; Metazoa; Chordata; Actinopteri; Mugiliformes; Mugilidae.